GAAUCAAGUAAUUCAAAAAAAAGCUUCUAACUUUAGUUUUAAGCGGUGAAAUUCCGUUUUUGAUUCU
This 67-nucleotide transfer RNA is filed under the name Curculio elephas. RNAcentral's name for it is "tRNA-Ser". The record is from RNAcentral. Lineage: Eukaryota; Metazoa; Arthropoda; Insecta; Coleoptera; Curculionidae.